UAGGGAGUCUGGACUCUGGAUGUGGCGUAUAUGCCCUUUCAAAGGGAAAUAUAAAGCACUCAGGAGGACACCCACUUGGGAGCCGGGUCUCUCUUACUGUCAGCGAAUACGGCAUGGUGGGGCUUGU
Molecule: small RNA, 127 nt
Filed under: Thermoanaerobacterales bacterium
Lineage: Bacteria; Bacillati; Bacillota; Clostridia; Thermoanaerobacterales
Description: partial 6S RNA
Rfam family: 6S / SsrS RNA
About the family: E. coli 6S RNA was the first non coding RNA to be sequenced, but its function was unknown until recently. It consists of 184 nucleotides that fold into an extended hairpin structure with a large single-stranded internal bulge. The 6S RNA specifically associates with RNA polymerase holoenzyme containing the sigma70 specificity factor.
Source: RNAcentral